GACGGAUCAGUCUGUUCAGGUCAGCUGAGAAAGGAAAGAGCUCAGUGUUCAGAGGUUCAGAGAAGUGACAGGACUGGCGAGGACAGAGGGCGGAGACAGGCAGACCCUGGACAUGUUUCUGUGCCCGCUGGCCUUCCUUGGCUUCAUCUAACUAACAAGAAGCCCUCUGCAGAGCCUGCUACGUGGGGCCCGGUGGCACAUGGAAGAGAUGGGCUUUCAGGGGCAGUCAUUUGGCCCACUCAGAUGAGCCCCACUAGCAGGUCUCGAGUGCUGUCCUCUCCACCAAGAUCACAGGAGUCGAUGGUGAGCACCCACUUCCCCAGCCCCAUCUCCUGCCUGUCCUGUAGGGCAACUGUCCAAAGACAGGGCUGUGGACCAUGCCUGGGUGUUCACCCAUCGUACUCCAUCUCAUGUCUACCCGUAGUAGUCAUUACCUGCCCUCAAACAUUCCGCCUGAGGCUGCCAGUUCUUGUAGGAAGUGGCCCCGGUGCCAGGCCAACAGCUUUCCUAGGCUUCAGAACACCGAGAUGAUUUCGGGCCAUCACUGAUCUUCACCCACCAGAGAAGUUUUUCACCAGGGGCUUUUCCUGACGUCAAAGUAACAGCCAGGUUAAGGGAACCCCUGGCCUGGGGGUGUCCCCCUGCCCACCCCCUGCAGCCCACAGCCCACCUGUCCUGCCUGCUGACAGGUCUCCUCCCACUCCUCCCGGCCUUGUUUGCACUGGAAAGUUGGGGUGCAUCGGCUGUGCACCUGAAUGUGUUAUUUGCUUCUGCUUAAAGAUCAUAAAGUCAGUAAAUUGUUUAAAAUAUAACUCAUUUGAGGGUCUAGCUCCUGCAAAGUCUGUUUGUCUUCUUUCAAAGCAUGCCUUAACUCAGCCCCUUCCUUUAUAAAACAGUCCAGCUCCAUAGAAAUUUUAAACAAACUGUCUCUCUCCUCUGGGCUUGGACUCAGCCCCCUCCCGGUCACAGGCCUGCCUGGAAGAAGCAGGUUGGGCCCUCUCAGCCGCUUCUGUUUAUAUCUGGGCCCAUUAUCAUGAAGGGCACUUUUAUUUGAGGAGUUGAGUAUUACAUUAGCAUUAUAAAACAAAUUGUUUUUCCAUUGCUUGAGAGCCAGGGAGAAUAAACCUGGACGGGCCAUGGCCUCCUAUUUAAAUAAACUAACGUCAUCCUGGGUACCAAGGAGCCUGAUUCGCCCCCCUGUUCCCCGCUUGGGCCGAGUUGUCCUCCCGGCCGCCUCUUUGGUCCCCUGGCCUCUGGGGCUCAGUGGGCUGUUCCCAGGGAAGCCUUCACCCUCUCUCCACCAGGGCUGUACAGUGACCCCGAGUCCAAUGGCAGAAAGGAUGGGGCUCAUCACAGGGCCCAGGACCCCAAAGGUUACAAAGCACCCACCCCUCCCCAUCUGACCCUCACCACCCCCAGCCGCACGCUUGGGCCUCCCUCCUCCUGUGCCUCCGGGACCGUCUCCCCACCUGCGGGAGGCCAGGUGUGUGGCUCCAGAGACCCUCCACCUGAACUACCCGCUCCCAGAGCCCCAGUCAGGGCCGCCAGAGGUCGCGGAGGGUGAAGCCAAUGGGCCUGGACGCCGAGGCCGGGGAGAGGAAGGAGCGAGGUAAUGGCUGUGGCUGGAGACCCUCUUCUGACUCCCCAGGCUGCCGGGUAGGCCUACUGUGGGAUGGGACUCAGGCGACCAGACGUGCUCUCCGUCGCCUCCAUCCCGGCCGCUGACUCCGCUGUGUCCCCUUGGAUCCAUCACCACCUCCAGGCAGCCCUCCAGCGGGUUCUGGUGGCGCCGAGAGCUUCGAGGGGACUCAACGCGCUUUGUAGGGCCUGUGAAAUCCGGCUUGUCGCAUAAGCUCCCUGAAGAAGAGAACAAACUUCCCAGACCAGGGGCCCGCGGGGAGCGGUGCAGACACCGCGGCAACCCACCCCGAGCCCGCCGGCCCUCGCUCCGUGCGCCCAAGGGGCGUCCCCCGAGGUGUCGCCUGCAAGGCAGCCGCGGUCUCGGUGUGACCAACUAAGCAGACACUCAGCGGCAGCGCCGCGCUUGGGGAGACUGCAGGGCAGAAAUGGGCCUAGAGGUGAAGGAGCCCUUCCCAAAUCGGACAGUCCCGGGGCUGGAGAGCCGGGAGCAACCCAGUUCCCUGAAGAAAUGAUUGCAGCUGCUCAGGCAAAACACGGUCUCCAGCACUGGGAAGGCGACAGCGGCGACAGUGCACCGUCCCCCUUGCACGCACUGAGGAGCCUGUCUUGGAGCUGAGACCUCCUCGCCCCCUCCGAGCUUACUGAGCACCCGGCCGGCAGCCCCCCGACUCCCCAGGAUGCUGCCUUGACCCCACCUAAUCUGGUCACUCACCUCCUAACCUUUCAGGGUCCAAGAGGACCCGCGUCCUGCCCCACCUUGCUGGGUGCAGAGCCGGGUGCACGCGGGACCCGCACUCGCUCUGGGCGAACACGCAGCGCCCUUCCCGGCCUCAGGCCGAGCCGGACCGCAACGCCGCUAUUAGUAAGGACUAAAAACAAAAGUUCUCCCCGAAGCCCACCUUUCCCCAGUAAGAAGGUGUCAAGGGUUAAACCGUUCGAUUUGCCCUUUUUCUUGAUCUUAGAGGGAAGAGGCAAGAACUCCUGGCACCUUUAUGGGCCUCAGACCUGUGGCUGCUGCCAGCAGUCUCAGUCCCACUAACUUUGAUCAGCCUUAUUAAUUCCAGCUGUGCUCUAUUUGUUUGUCAUUUUCCCCUUUUCCUCUGGAAUCAUUAUUUAUAGCAGGAAAAAAAAAAGCCCACUGUUAGAAUGGAGGCAAGGAGGGAAUUUCUGAGAACGACUGGGUGAAUGUAUUUUUCCUUAAAGGUCACCAAAAAGGAGGAGAGGUGUAGGGGUGAGUCUUGACUCUUAUGAGCUCUUCUUUGAAUUUAUUACUCAAGAGCAUUAACUAAUUACCAGAUCAGAUAAAUGAAAAAAAAAUUCCCUAAAAUAACCCAAGGUAAUUAUAACCGUGCUGUUGACACUAACGAUUAAUAAUUGAUCAGGAGUCACACACAAUAAAUUGUCAAUUUAUCUCCCCACAAAAAUGCGAGUGCUUGUGUAGCAUUGUGUUUUGUUUCUUCCCUCUGGGUAUUUUCUGUGAAUAUCGAGUCCGUAUUGGAGGCAGCCCCAAACCUCAUAGUCAAUUCUUUAAGAAUAUUACAUUUCAUUUAUUUACAGCUCCAUAUAGAACAAAGUAACAUUAGAACACCUUUUAAAAAUACUUUUAUUAUCAUGGGGCCAGAGUUAAACAAACAAAAAAAAUUCUUCCUCUUUCCUUUUAUCUGGGAUUGCGCAAAUACGGACAACAGAUAUUUCCUUUCUUCAUUGUAUUAGCAAUACAGUCCUCUUAAAUUGUGUCUUCAAUUAUUAUCUUUCUUAGAAAGAGAGAGAACACUCUGCCUUCACGGUAGGAAACACAAGACUAUUCUCUGUUCCAAGGGUGGAGGGGACAGAGGUGCCGGUUGAGGCCACAUCCAUCUGUUUCUAGGGAUGCAGCUGAAGGGAGAGGCUGAUGCAUACAAGUGGGGUGUCUGCUUCCUAAAACUGGGGCUCAAAGUGUUUUCUCUUCCACCCAUCAAUGGCUGAGGUCCAAGUGCAUAUUGUUGAAAACCAGAUUCGUAGCAUUCUAGCCCAAGCAAAGGGGAGGGCUAGUGAGUGCUUUCAUUAUGGCCAAUAGAUAGUAAUUUUCAGCAACUGGAAAAUUAUAUUGUCAUAGAUUACUUCUCCUUAUAAUUAGCCUUUAAAAUAUCUGUAGGGAUUUGUCACUUGCAUAAAGGUUUGAAAAUACAUCAAAGGGACAUGUCCCCCUUGCGAUUUGUAGAAAUUCAAAUGAUGUUAAUCAUAAUAUCCACAUAGCACAGACGGUUGUGUAUUGUUCCCAAGAUAGCCUCUUCGGUUAACGCUUUCAAAAAAAUAGUUAAAAUGUUAUGUUUGUAAAAGCAGUUUAAAACAUAUUUAUUAUAUCUAUUUAUAUUUUAAUUUUGAGUCUAAAUGAAUGUUUUCCUUGGGAUUCUCAAGGUACUGGGCAACUAAAGAAAAAUUAUAUAGUGAUAAUUAUUGUAUAUUGUUACUUGGAUGAAACUUUCUCAUAAUUCACUUCAGAGUGUUAUUGAAAUUUGAAAAUGCCUCUGAGUGGACCACAAAUUUGUUUGGAACAAUUUUUUUUUCCAAAUUGAUGUCUGUUUAAUUAGGCUGUAACAGUGGUAGUUUAGUAUGUACAUUCACUCCGUAGUUAAAAAACAAAGGGUCCACUUUACUUUUAGCCUCCUUGAUAUGUACUUAAAUGCAAUUGUAAAUGAUCCGAAAACGCGCACGGGCUUCGGAGGUGGCUAUUUCAUCUUUGUGUUUCUUCGCAGUGGUUCUCGCCUCCCAGAAUCCGCAGAGAUCUAAUAAACACAUAAGUUAAAGAGAGCCUCAGGGGAACCCCGAGCCCUCUCCCACCACUCUCCCAACUCCAGAAUGAGAUCCGCGGCGGCCCGGCGAGGGGGUUCUGGGGAGGCGCACCCCAGGCUGGCUACCCUGAGCCCAGGCCCAAGGCUGCCCCUCUAGGCCCCAGCACCCAGCCCCCUUCCUCUCUCCGCUCCCCGCCCCUCCUUCCUCGCAUCAGACAAAGGUGGAUGAAGUUCUUUUCAAGUUUCAAAGGCAGUUGCUGGGCAGCUUUGCAGAAACAAUAACUCUUUUAUUGGGAACAAAUGUUGACAUUUGACGGGCGCGGGAGGCAGCGCCCGCGCCGGCCGCCGGGCAAGCGCCCCGGUGCUCUCGGCAGCCCCCGGCCCCCGGGGCCCACCUGAGAUUAAAGCGCGAAUUCCGAUAAAUCAGCUCUAAGGAAACCCUGGGCCGCGGAGAGCAGAAGGGCUGUCGCGGAUCCACCACGCGGGCGCCGGGCCGCGGAGCCGGGAGCGCGCCCAGGCCUGCACCCGCAGCAAAGCCAAGGCCACCGCCCCAAAGCCCAUCUGCUCCUGGUCGCCCCGUUUUGCCGACGUCUCCCCGGCCUCAGUCAACAACAGCAAACUUCUAUCUUGGAGGGCUAGCAAUUGUGACACCUACCUGUGGACCAAGGAAAAAACCAAAUCAUCCCCAAUCUUUCAGUUCCACAACAA
RNAcentral lists this long non-coding RNA (5120 nucleotides) under Homo sapiens (human). RNAcentral's name for it is "HSALNT0083459". Lineage: Eukaryota; Metazoa; Chordata; Mammalia; Primates; Hominidae. The record is from RNAcentral.